CCGCCGCGCUGCCUUGGAAUACGAUAAGGCGGUGCAAUGUUGUGCCGCGCUCUGUUCACAAUAAUCGCCGUAUCAUGUACGUUCCCACGUAUAAAACACGUACACGCUCAGGGCACACAGCGUAUAGUUCAGAUAAAAGGUUUCAAUUAAUAUUGUCAAUUAACAAUUGAGUUUAAACUAAUAAUAUCAACGAAUGGUUAAAACAUUUUAAAUGCGUUUGAAUUAAAGUUUUUUUGGAAUAGCAAUUCGUGGACAGUGUUUAGGCAAUAAAUUUGAUAUGUGUACUUAUAUUGAGUGGUUUACAAAAGGAAGAUCUGGAUGUGAACAUGUUGAAGAAACUUGAACGUCAUGGCUUGAAUAUUAACGAUAUGAACAAUGAGAAUCUGAGAGAUGAUUGUUUAAACAGCGCAAAAACAACUGUUAAAGAUGAAUAUUCAAAUACGGAAGCUACAACAAAAUCAAUUACAGAAAUGAUGUUCACGAGCCGGCAAAGAGAUCAAUCUAAUAACAAAGAAACAAAUAAAACUGAUUUAAAAUCGUUUAUAAAAUAUUUCAUGGAACUACAAAACUCGAAUGAUAAAUCAAAAA
Long non-coding RNA from Manduca sexta (tobacco hornworm), 588 nucleotides. RefSeq lists it as uncharacterized. The transcript is spliced from 4 exons. Lineage: Eukaryota; Metazoa; Arthropoda; Insecta; Lepidoptera; Sphingidae. The record is from RefSeq and is a predicted model, not a curated record.